RNAcentral lists this ribosomal RNA (403 nucleotides) under uncultured bacterium. RNAcentral's name for it is "partial 16S ribosomal RNA". It matches the Rfam family "Bacterial small subunit ribosomal RNA", at positions 28 to 527 of the family's 1533-position model. The record is from RNAcentral.
GACGAACGCUGGCGGCGUGCCUAAUACAUGCAAGUCGAACGCAGUGGGGACGGGUGAGUAACACGUGGGUAACCUCCCAUCAGAGGGGAUAACACGUGCAAACAGGUGCUAAACCGAGACUGAUGGAUGGACCCGCGGUGCAUUAGCUAGUUGGUGGGGUAACGGCUCACCAAGGCCACGAUGCAUAGCCUGCCUGAGAGGGUGUUCGGCCACACUGGGGCUUGGACUGGACCCAGACGCCUACGGGAGGCAGCCGUCUGGAAUCUUCGGCAAUGGAGGCAAGUAUAACCGAACAACGCCGCGUGAGUGAAGAAGGUUUUCGGAUCGUUAAACUCUGUUGUUAGAGAGGCGGUAUCUAAACAGAAAGCCACGGCUAACUACGUGCCAGCGGCCGCGGUAAUUG